AAAAAAAUCGUGUAAAUAAGCAAUUGCUUUCGAGUGCGAAUCUCAGCCCGAUGACGACAUCGUUGUUAAUAUCACCGAUGAAGAAUAUCGAUGAGCGAGUUCGAACCACGAGUUGCUACGGUUUUUAAAGAUUGUUAUUAUAGAUAUGGCAAGAUACGUUCACUUUUAAAUACUCAUCUAUUUCCAUGACACUGAUAAGACAUUACUGAUAACGUAGAUACCUACGUAUAGAUACUAUCGCCAACGUCUUCAUUUUGUUUUUUUCUUUUUGUGUUACAACGAACUAACAGUAUCCUCGCAUCGGUGUAUUCGUAAAAAUGAUGUAUCCGCGUCAAUGCGUCGGUAUAAUCUUUCUGUGUUUCUCGGUACUCGUCGCUCGCUCUUGCUGAAAUUCGCAAUCAAAGAUGGUGGAAAGAUACUGUGUUCUAUCAAAUCUAUCCUCAAAGUUUCAUGGACAGCGACACAAUGGCAUUUUCGGUCUCAAAGAUCAUUCUCGAUCUCGUUCUUGAUCAUAGACCAAUACGAACGGUUUAAUAAAAUUUUAGAAAGUGUUAAUAUGUCUGGAAGAAAAUACAAAGAUUACUACAUAUGGGCGGAUCCUGUCAAUGAAACUGACCUAGUGAAACUGAAGUGACCAUCAAAUAUUUGGCUCGAUGUAUUUGGGAAUCCAGGUUGGAGUUAUUAUCCAUGUCGAAAGUAAUUGUAUUUUCAUCGAUUUCUUCGAGAACAGCCAGAUCUAAAUUGCAAAAAUUCUGUAGUGAUAUUCGAAUAGCAGCAAAUAAUAAAAUAUUGGCUACAUAAGGAUGUAAAUGGAUUUUGUAUUACAUCAUCUUUUUGAAAUAAGCAACAUUACCUUGGACGAGUCAAAGAACAAUACUGUUAAUCUGUCGAAGAAUGAGUAUGCUUAUUUACAGAAUAUUUAUAUGAAAGAUCAAGACGAAUAUGUUUUAAUAAAGGAUUCUUACGCAAAGAUAUAAUAAAUAACGAAGAAAAAAUAUGUGAAUAUAUAGAUGAUGAUAACAAAGACAUAUACGAUAUUAGAAAAUACUACGAAAUUUUAUAGAUACCGAUCACAUAUAUCCUUUAAUUAAAAUUCAUUAUAAAUCUAGUCAAAUGCUACUAAUUUCAAAAAUAUGAUAGACGCAUGGAUCCAAACUAUGCCAAUAAAAAAUGUACCUGUUUGUUUGGCGAAUCAAAAACUAUUUUCAUUAAUUGACCGAUUAUUUCUUGAAACAAAACUUAUCACGGAGGAGAAAUCGGUAUGAUGAAUAAUCAAAACAUAAUAUUUAAAUAGAUGCAAAAUGCACAAGCUUAUAGUGCCACUGAAAAGAAAAUAUAAAAGUAAAUCUUAUCUUAUCCGUGUAGAACACCAUUUCUGUGCAAUAAUGCAACCUAUGCAGAAUUUCAACAGAACCUUGCUAACCAGUUAAUGAAAAUUAUGAAAUACUAAAUUUGGAACAGCAGAAAAAAGAUACUAACUCAUAUUACAAGAUUUACACUGCACCAACAACUGCACUAACGAGGUUACGAAGUUCAACGAGUGCACUCAAAAAUGGAUAAUAUCAGUUACUUUAAAAAUAAUAAUCUUUUGGUAAUUAGACGAUAUAACGAAGAUAAGUUAGUAAGAGUUCUUAUAAAUUUUUCAAACGAUAAAUCGCAAUCGAUCAAUCUCACUGACGUGUCAGAAAGGAUUCCAGCUAUAGCAACAACGAAAAUUACAAAUGUUGAUGUCGAAAAUAGAAGUUAAUAAAGGACAAGAUGGAUAUAUUGUGGUCGUUCCAAAGAAAACUCCGAUAAUCCUUCAUUCGACGUAUCAACUUUUCAAUGGUUCCAAGAAAUAUACUAACUAUCUUCUAACAAUAUAACUAUCUUCUACUGAUAAUACUGAUCAUCAUAGUAUUAAAGUUAUAAGAAAUAAUAAACUAAUACUAUUAAUGUU
Molecule: long non-coding RNA, 1939 nt
Organism: Vespula vulgaris
Lineage: Eukaryota; Metazoa; Arthropoda; Insecta; Hymenoptera; Vespidae
Exons: 6
Source: RefSeq, a predicted model, not a curated record